This 497-nucleotide ribosomal RNA is filed under the name uncultured bacterium. RNAcentral's name for it is "partial 16S ribosomal RNA". It matches the Rfam family "Bacterial small subunit ribosomal RNA", at positions 28 to 507 of the family's 1533-position model. The record is from RNAcentral.
GAUGAACGCUGGCGGCGUGCCUAAUACAUGCAAGUCGAGCGAACAGAUGAGGAGCUUGCUCCUCUGACGUUAGCGGCGGACGGGUGAGUAACACGUGUAUAACCUACCUAUAAGACUGGGAUAACUUCGGGAAACCGGAGCUAAUACCGGAUAAUAUAUUGAACCGCAUGGUUCAAUAGUGAAAGACGGUUUUGCUGUCACUUAUAGAUGGAUCCGCGCCGCAUUAGCUAGUUGGUAAGGUAACGGCUUACCAAGGCAACGAUGCGUAGCCGACCUGAGAGGUUGAUCGGCCACACUGGAACUGAGACACGGUCCAGACUCCUACGGGAGGCAGCAGUAGGGAAUCUUCCGCAAUGGGCGAAAGCCUGACGGAGCAACGCCGCGUGAGUGAUGAAGGUCUUCGGAUCGUAAAACUCUGUUAUUAGGGAAGAACAAAUGUGUAAGUAAAUAUGCACGUCUUGACGGUACCUAAUCAGAAAGCCACGGCUAACUACGUG